CCUCUACAUUUCCAGCAGAAUAAUUUCUGCUUUUCAAUUAUGACCUAGGUAAGACAUUCUCUCCUUUAGCGAAUUUCUCUUGAUCCUUUCUCUCUUAGGCUCGGUGAACUGCCCCUCCACUAUGUUAUGAAAAUGUUCUCUAUCUCUACCAUCACUGCACAGGUCAUAUAUUAUUAUAAUUUUUAUUUUGUUUUUAAAAAGGUAAUACAGAUGCAACAAACAGGCUUUCACAUCGUCCCAGAAUGAUGACUGAAUACUGCAUUCUUGGUUCAGAGCAAAGCCAACAGGUGGUUCAGCUAUCUUUCUUCAUGCUUAAGAUAGAAACAAAUUCAGAAACCAGCUCUACUCCAACCAUCCUCCCUCCACACAGUCAACACAAGAAGACAGACUAUCCCCCCACCCACAUUUCUGUGGAGGACAUGCUGUCUUUUCCCAAGGCCAAGUGGAGGUCCCAAAAGAAUUUCUGUUUAAAAAAAACACAAAGUGGGGAAACCUAUAAAAAGGGUGACUGUCAUUUUUAUUCCAUUUUGAAUGUCUGCUUUACCAGAGAAUUGACGACAAUCAGAUGGGAGGAGUGAGCAUUUUACCAGUAAACCAUGUUGGAGUCACCAUCUGUCUACAACAGCUACCUGGAGUGCAUAUACAAUGAGGGAGAAUGGCAGUUACCACCAACUUCAGGCAGAACUGUGGCUGGCCCAGUCAGGAAGAUAUGUUUUGUUCUUUUCCUGCUACCUCAGCCUCACCCUGACAGGGAAGAGAGCAGCAGUGGGUAGAGGAAGGGGAGAGGAGAGAAGUGAAAGUCAGACCAUGCAACACACCCUUCCAUUACAGGCUUUGGGAAAGCCCUAGGAAUUGCCUGAUGAAGUCGCCUAGCGAUUGCCGGAGCCUGAUCAUGCAACAGGGGAAGACAUGCUCGUAAAGUGCCCAAGUUCUCCUACCAGAGGAAGUCCCGUCCUGCUGCAGCACUUCCUAGAACUGAGUGUGGAUCCAACCCUCCCUCACAGCCAUGGGACCCUGAGAACACUGACGUCAUCUCUCCUUCAACCAUAUUACCAUGGGUGAGGUAAGGUGAGGCCAGAUGCGGAUCUAGAGAAACCAGAAAGAAUUUUACAGUUUUGGUAGACUCAUAGUUCCCUCGGGAGGACACAGCCCGCCACACAGGGACAGUCAGGGCAAGUACCAGGGUCUACAGGAGGCAGAGACAGGGAGCAGAGCUGUGGUUAAGUGCCUUUAUUGUGGUUUCCAUGGGAAGGAAUGAGAAAGGCAGGGUAGGUUGUUUUUGGAUUGGCCUACAUUUGAAAGUGGCGUCCCCAUGAAAUUCAUGUUCACUGUGACUGUUAGAGUAUAUGGUUUGGGGCUAUCUAAAGUUUCCAGAUGUUUUUGAGUGAGCCAGAGUUUAUUUGGGAACAGCUAGUAGCCAUUUUGUAGAUGUUAAGGCAUUGAUUUACAGACGUUAAAAGAAUGGUUAAUACAAUCCCCACUUCAAGUAUAAGUCUGAUGAGUCUAAGCCGUGUAGGUGUCUUCCUGGUGAUGCAUGACGCAAUUUUUCCCAAUCCUACUUGGCUGAGAAGGACUUGGAGAGCAUGACCUGGCCAUCUAAGGCUAUGACAGGAAUGCAGACUUCACACUGCAUGCCAGCAUGGAAUGAGACCCAGAUGAGGCAGAUUACAUCUCAGCAGAGGCCAAUGUAGGCAGAGAAUUUUCAUGGAC
This is a long non-coding RNA of Equus asinus (donkey), 1710 nucleotides long. The record is from Ensembl. NCBI's taxonomy places the organism in Eukaryota, Metazoa, Chordata, Mammalia, Perissodactyla, Equidae.